Molecule: RNA transcript, 1441 nt
Organism: Manduca sexta (tobacco hornworm)
Lineage: Eukaryota; Metazoa; Arthropoda; Insecta; Lepidoptera; Sphingidae
Gene name: chitin deacetylase 8
Exons: 6
Source: RefSeq, a predicted model, not a curated record
UAACAUCUUAUCUAGAAAUUUCCAAAAUCUAAGUCAUAACACCAGUGCAUUUAGAUAAUAGAACGAAUAACGAUAAAGCCCUCUAUAUAAUGGAUGGUCAGGAUCCAGUAUUUGGAACACGAGACAAUGAAGUGGUUCAUACUAGUGAGCUUAGUUGUGGCUGUAGUGGCUGAGGAAGCUGGCGAGCUGCCCUCAGCUGAGCCUUGUGAUGUGGAGGCGUGCAAGCUGCCGGAAUGUAGGUGCUCCACCACUGACAUCCCUGGAGGAUUGUCCCCAAGGAACACUCCUCAGUUUGUCUCCCUAACCUUCGACGAUAGCGUCAACAUUCUCAACAUGGAGACCUAUCGAAGACUGAUCUUCAACCGUCGCAACUCCAACGGCUGUCCUGCCGGCACCACGUUCUACGUGAGCCACGAGUAUACCAACUACCAGCUCAUCAACGAGCUGUACAACCGCGGGUACGAGAUCGCGCUCCACUCCAUCUCACACCGUGUGCCGCAGACCUGGUGGGCCACCGCCAGCCUCGAGGAGCUCAGGCAGGAUAUUGGCGAUCAGAAGGAACAGAUGGCUCACUUCGCUAACAUCCCUGCAAAUCAAAUUAAAGGUGUCCGUCUUCCCUUCCUGCAAAUGAGUGGAAAUACGAGUUUCCAAGUAAUGAAAGAGUACGAGCUUCUCUACGACCACUCCUGGCCCACCGCGUCCCUUAGGGACCCUGGUCUCUGGCCCUACACUCUGCACCAUGAAUCUACCCAGGAUUGCUUCGCACCUCCUUGCCCUACCGCUUCCAUCCCCGGACCCUGGGUGUUCCCCAUGAUAACCUGGAUUGAUCCCAAUGGAUUCCCAUGUUCUAUGGUGGACGCUUGCACUAGCUUCCCCGAUCGUGAGGACGAGAACGCGUGGUUCGCGUUCAUAAUGCAGAACUUCGAGCGGCACUACUUCGGGAACCGCGCGCCCUUCGGCUUCUACGUGCACGAGGGCUACAUCAGGCCUAUCCGGCUGUCGAAAGGGCACUAGCGCGAUUCCUGAACGUCAUUAACCAUCUCAACGAUGUAUUUAUGGCGAAUGCUGUCGAUAUCGUUGAAUGGGUGAAGAACCCAGUGCCAGUGAACGAAUACAGAGCGAGACCAUGUAAGAGCGUCACGCCUUCCUUCUGCCCGGCGAGUAGUUGCGGUCCUUUAAUCGGACAGCACAACCAGAUGAGCUACUGGAUACCGAUCUGCAAUGUCUGUCCUGCCAACUACCCUUGGGUGGGAAAUCCACUCGGACGUUAAUAUAGUCACUAGACAUUAAUAUAACAUCUUUAAUAAUAAGUUUUAUAUCGAAGUUGAAGAUAUAGUCAUCGUUAAUGAGACUGCAACAAGACUCAUUACAGACAAAAGUUAAUAAUUGAGAUUUAUUACUAUUUCUGUAUUGUUUUUAAUAAAUAAAUCUGUAAUACUUU